CCUCCAAUUUCCCACUCAAUCCCCCUCCAAAUCGACCCCUUGAUGUAGAAAUCUAGGGUUUCGGACGAGUUUCCGCUUCCGAUUUUGAGCUUCCGAGCUCAAAACCCGCCCAAAAACCUCUUGCUCCUCCGGAGAAGUGGAGGCGGGGCGCUCCGAUGGUUUUGACGCGGUUCUCGUGGCCCUACGGGGGGCGGCACGUCGCCAUAUGCGGCUCCUUCACGAGGUUGGUGAUUUUGGUUCGUGGCUUGUGCUUAAUUUUGAGGUUUUGAUGGCUCGGCUUGGUGGAAUCGGGGUGAGAAGGUGUGAUCUUGUGGUUGCUUUUUUGUGUAGGUGGGUCGAUCAGUAUCAAAUGGCGCUCGUCGAGGGCUCGAUGGGGGAGUACCAGGCGAUUUUCGAUCUCCCCCCUGGGGUUUAUCAGGUGUGGCAACUGAUUUAGGUUUCAAAAGUUCGUAAUUUUGUGUUGCAUGCGAGUUUUGUUGAGUUAAUAAUGUGGGGAAGUGCUUCAAAGAGAAACAGGAAGCUCNUUUUUUACUUUUUAAAUGCCUUAAAUUUAAUGGGAAAGGCAAGAAUAACAUUUAAAACGUGAUAAUAAAUUCUAUUAUUCAUCUGCUAGUGAUAUAUAUAUAUAUAUAUAUAUAUAUAUAUAUAUAUAUAUAUAUAUAUAUAUAUAUAUUGAGAGAUAGGUACUGUAUAUAUUUUUCAACUACACAUUGGUUACAGUUUCAUCCACGCAAACACCAAAUAUAAUGUGCGGUGCAUAGUGUGUAUGUGAAAACACCCAUUGCACACAAUAAUUUAAGAUAUGUAGAGAAGAGAGAGAGAGAGAGAGAGUUGAGCUCGUAUACUUUUAAAAAUACAGAAGCUCAACAUAUUUGUAAUUUUUUAGCCGACGGAUUGCCUAAAAAUUUUUAUAAUAUUAUUAACCGUGUGUUUCAUUAAAUCUUCUUUAUUAAUAUUGUACGAAUAUUGAGAUUAUCCGAUGCUAAAAAAUCAUAACUAUGUUGAGCUCACAUAAGAUCAACUCUCUCUCUCUCUCUCUCUCUACCUCUCUCUCUCUCUCUAUAUAGUUUUUUUUUUUGCAAAUAGCUCUAUAAAAUUUAUAUUUACAAAAUUAGUUCAAUCUCUGCCAUGUAAGCGCGAUGCUGAAAGUUUAAGUUGAAUAAGAUGAAUGAUUUAUCAUAUUCAAAUACGGUGAAUAAUUUUUCGUAUUCAAGCGUUAUCUAUAACCCCUACGCAUGAUCUCUCUUUUCCCCUCACUCUCCUCGAGCUUUUCCCAUCUCUCUCUGUGCCCCCCUUGAGCUCUCUGCGGCUGCUGUCCGUCGCCCACUGCUUCCUCUCUCCUCCUCCACCGUCCUUCAUGGUAGUUUUUUUCAUGACCUCAAAGGUCUCAUAGGAGACCCAGUAUUACCAUACAUCCACGGUGACUUGACAGUAGAAGGGAUAGAAGAGGAUUACGCUGAAUCAUUCACUGUGUUUGUGACAAAGAUAUGACCAAUUUUGUAAAUAUAUAUUUUAUAAGGUUAUUUGCAAAAAAAAAAUUUGUUAAGAGAUAAAAAAAAACCCUAUAUAUAAAUAUUAUUUUUUAUUUAUAUUAUUAAUAUUUUUACUGUAUUAAAAUUAUUUUAUUGUUUUUAUUAUAUUCUAUGGUUUUUUACCGCGCGACUCACCACGGAUCCUUCCCUCCUCUCUCUCUCUCUCUCUCUCUCUCUCCUCCCUCAUCUCUCUCUCUCUCCUCUCUCUCUCUCUCUCUCUCUCUCUCUUCUCGGCGGAGACUUCGAUAGAUUCGAUGCGAUUGCCCCUCGCUCCGCCCAUCUCUCUCCAAUUUCCCACUCAAUCCCCCUCCAAAUCAACCCCUUGAUGUAGAAAUCUAGGGUUUCGGACGAGUUUCCGCUUCCGAUUUUGAGCUUCCGAGCUCAAAACCCGCCCAAAAACCUCUUGCUCCUCCGGAGAAGUGGAGGCGGGGCGCUUCGAUGGUUUUGACGCGGUUCUCGUGGCCCUACGGGGGGCGGCACGUCGCCAUAUGCGGCUCCUUCACGAG
Molecule: long non-coding RNA, 2038 nt
Filed under: Ananas comosus (pineapple)
Lineage: Eukaryota; Viridiplantae; Streptophyta; Magnoliopsida; Poales; Bromeliaceae
Description: long non-coding RNA (ACOM_LNC029997)
Source: RNAcentral